Molecule: ribosomal RNA, 488 nt
Filed under: uncultured bacterium
Lineage: Bacteria
Description: partial 16S ribosomal RNA
Rfam family: Bacterial small subunit ribosomal RNA
Source: RNAcentral
GACGAACGCUGGCGGCGUGCUUAACACAUGCAAGUCGAACGGAAAGGCCCUGCUUUUGUGGGGUGCUCGAGUGGCGAACGGGUGAGUAACAUGUGAGUAACCUGCCCUUGACUUUGGGAUAACUUCAGGAAACUGGGGCUAAUACCGGAUAGGAGCUCCUGCUGCAUGGUGGGGGUUGGAAAGUUUCGGCGGUUGGGGAUGGACUCGCGGCUUAUCAGCUUGUUGGUGGGGUAGUGGCUUACCAAGGCUUUGAUGGAUAGCCGACGUGAGAGGGUGACCGGCCGCAGGGGGGGUGAGACGCCGACAAGGGUUCUGAGUGAGGCCGCAGCCUGGUAUGGUCAGGAGUGGGGGGAAGUGUGGCAGAGUGGCGGGAUGCGUGACGGGGACGCCCCCGGGUCGGAAAACCGGCUUGGGGGUGGAAAACAUCUUUGGCCGGGAAGGAACCAUGAUUGAGGGUAAUGGAUAAAGAAGCCACGGCUAACUACGUG